AUUGAACGCUGGCGGCAGGCCUAACACAUGCAAGUCGAGCGGAUGAAGGGAGCUUGCUCCUGGAUUCAGCGGCGGACGGGUGAGUAAUGCCUAGGAAUCUGCCUGGUAGUGGGGGAUAACGUCCGUAAACGGGCGCUAAUACCGCAUACGUCCUGAGGGAGAAAGUGGGGGAUCUUCGGACCUCACGCUAUCAGAUGAGCCUAGGUCGGAUUAGCUAGUUGGUGGGGUAAAGGCCUACCAAAGCGACGAUCCGUAACUGGUCUGAGAGGAUGAUCAGUCACACUGGAACUGAGACACGGUCCAGACUCCUACGGGAGGCAGCAGUGGGGAAUAUUGGACAAAGGGCGAAAGCCUGAUCCAGCCAUGCCGCGUGUGUGAAGAAGGUCUUCGGAUUGUAAAGCACUUUAAGUUGGGAGGAAGGGCAGUAAGUUAAUACCUUGCUGUUUUGACGUUACCAACAGAAUAAGCACCGGCUAACUUCGUG
RNAcentral lists this ribosomal RNA (484 nucleotides) under uncultured bacterium. RNAcentral describes it as "partial 16S ribosomal RNA". It matches the Rfam family "Bacterial small subunit ribosomal RNA", at positions 30 to 507 of the family's 1533-position model. The record is from RNAcentral.